CGCCCGGGGCCCUCCGCGGCCUCUCUAGGAAACUGGGAGGCCCAACGUCUCUGCUUCUCUCCGGCUCCGGUGCGGCGGGCGGCGGGGCUUGUCCAACAUCCCUCACCUCCCUCAGUUGGACAUUUCCCUUCCACGCUCGGAUGCCCAGCCGCGCCUGUUUUCUUGCAUCCCUCCUGUCGUGUCUGCGGGGCUGCCCUGAAGGCCUCUUUCCCUCCAGGGAAGAAAGGGAUCCAAAGCUAGGGGUGAAAAUAGGGCCAGCAGUAUCUAGCAGACUGGUCCUGGCCAGGAGAAGGGGUUAAGGGAGCCACUCAUUCUUCGCCUGGGUACACUUCAAAGAGGGGAACCAGAUCCUACGGGAAGCUAGGUGCCAGAACUCCUGCCUUUCCAAGACGAGCUCAUCCCCAUCAUCACCAUACCCAGGAAUACUUGUUCAUAGCCAGCUCAGAGGUGCACCAUACUUUAGCUUCCCACGGCCUUCACUCGUUUUCUCCUGUGGGUGAAUUCUAACUAGGCUCGCCUGUCACCAAAGAUGGAAACAGAGAAUAGAUCCUGAACACCAGGAAGAUGGUGACAAGGUGAUAGAGAAACAGAUGGCACAUUCAAACAAGGGCCCUGAAGUGAUCCUCCUCCUGUUCACUGACACCCGUUGCCAAGAGAGAGAGAGAAAAAGAGAGAGAGAGAGAAGCAGGAAGAGAGGAGAGGGUGCUGGCCUUAUUAGAGAAAGAAUGGUCCCACUCUGUUGCCCAGGUUGGAGUGCAGUGGUACAAUCACACAGCUCACUGCAGCCUUGACCUCCCAGGCUCAAGCGAUCCUCCCACCUCAGCCCCUGAGUAGCCGGGACUACCGGUGCAAGCCACUACACCCGGCUAAUUUUUUUGUAUUUUUGUAGACACAAGGUUUUGCUAUAUUGCCCUGGCUGGUCUCAAACUGCUGGACUCAACAAUCCACCUGCCUCAGCCUCCCAAAAUACUGGGAUUACAGGCAUGAGCCACCACGCCAGGCCAAGACUUUAUAUUGAGGUUCACUUUUGGUGUUAUACAUUCUAUGGUUUUUGACAAAUGUAUAAAUACAUGUAUCCACAUACAUGUAUUCUGUGUCAUAUGGAAUAGUUUCCAGAAUAGUGUGGUGGUGCACACCUGUAGUCUCAGCUACUUGGGAGGCUGAGGCAGGAGGAUGGUCUUGAUCAUUAUAACUUUAUAGUAAGGCUUAAAGUCCAGUAAAGUCAGUCCUCUGACUUUGUUCUUCUACUUCAACACUGAGUUGACUACUCUGGGUCUUUUGCCCUCCAUGUAAACUUUGGAAUCAGUUUACUGAUAACCAUAAAAUAGUAUUAUACAGAAUAGUUUCACUGCCCUAAAAAUCCUCUGUGCUCUCCUUAUUCAUCCCUCCCUCCUCCCUGUGGCAACCACUGAUCUUUUUACCAUAGUUUUGCCUUUUCCAGAAGGUAAUACAGUUGAAAUCAUACAGUAUGCAGUCUUUUCAGAUUGACCUUUCCUGUGUCUUUUCUUUCUUUUUUUUUUUUUUUUUUUUUUUUGAGAGACAGAGUCUUGUUCUGUUGUCCAGGCUGGAGUGCAGUAGCACAAUCAUAGCUCACUGCCACCUCAAUCUUCUGGACUCAAGCAAUCCUCCUGUCUUGGCCUCCUGAGUAGCUAGGACUACAGGCAUAUGCCACCACACCCAGCUAAUUUUAUUUUUUUAUUUUUAAUAGAGACGAGAUCUCACUAUGUUGCCCAGGCUGGGCUCCAUGUCUUUUCAUUACUUGAUAACUCAUUUCUUUUUAGCAGUGAAUAAUAUUCCAUUGCCUGAUAUACCACAGUUUAUUUAACCACUUAGCCUCUGAAAGAUACCUUGGUUGCUUCCAACUUUUGUCAGUUAUGAAUAAAGCUGCUAUAAACA
Molecule: long non-coding RNA, 1896 nt
Organism: Homo sapiens (human)
Lineage: Eukaryota; Metazoa; Chordata; Mammalia; Primates; Hominidae
Exons: 4
Source: RefSeq, a predicted model, not a curated record